RNAcentral lists this ribosomal RNA (497 nucleotides) under uncultured bacterium. RNAcentral's name for it is "partial 16S ribosomal RNA". It matches the Rfam family "Bacterial small subunit ribosomal RNA", at positions 28 to 507 of the family's 1533-position model. The record is from RNAcentral.
GAUGAACGCUGGCGGCGUGCCUAAUACAUGCAAGUCGAGCGAACGGACGAGAAGCUUGCUUUUCUGAUGUUAGCGGCGGACGGGUGAGUAACACGUGGAUAACCUACCUAUAAGACUGGGAUAACUUCGGGAAACCGGAGCUAAUAUCGGAUAAUAUUUUGAACCGCAUGGUUCAAAAGUGAAAGACGGUCUUGCUGUCACUUAUAGAUGGAUCCGCGCUGCAUUAGCUAGUUGGUAAGGUAACGGCUUACCAAGGCAACGAUGCAUAGCCGACCUGAGAGCGUGGUCGCCUACCUGGGAACUGAGACACGGCACAGACUCCUAGGGUAGGACGCAGUAGGGAAUCUUACGCAAGGGGGGAGAGCCGGAUAGAGCAACGUCGCGGGAGGGAUGAAGGUCUUCGGAUGGUAAAACUAUGUUAGUAGUGAAGAACAAAUGUGCAAUUACCUGUGAACAUCUUGACGGUACCGAAUCAGAAAGCCCCGGCUAACUACGUG